RNAcentral lists this ribosomal RNA (206 nucleotides) under uncultured bacterium. RNAcentral describes it as "partial 16S ribosomal RNA". It matches the Rfam family "Bacterial small subunit ribosomal RNA", at positions 568 to 774 of the family's 1533-position model. The record is from RNAcentral.
UUCGUAGGUGGCCAACUAAGUCGGACGUGAAAUCCCUCAGCUUAACUGGGGAACUGCGUCUGAUACUGGUUGGCUUGAGUGCAGGAGAGGAACGCGGAAUUCCAGGUGUAGCGGUGAAAUGCGUAGAUAUCUGGAGGAACACCGGUGGCGAAGGCGGCGUUCUGGACUGCAACUGACACUGAGGAACGAAAGCCAGGGAGCAAACG